UCCCGACGGUCCGAGUCGCAGCCACAAUUAUUGGGUCUAAAACAUUCGUAGCUUGUUUUGACAGUUUCUUGUGAAAUCUUAACUCUUAAGGUUAAGGCGUGCAAGGAAUACUACAAAACUAGAGACCGGAAGAAGUAAGAAGUAUGAUCGAGGUAGUGAUAAAAUACGUUAAUCUUGAUCAGACUAACAAGAGCGAAGGCAUCUUACUAGUACGGAUCCGACAGUGAGGAAUGAAGGCUAGGGGCGCAAAAGG
This 253-nucleotide ribosomal RNA is filed under the name uncultured archaeon. Its description in RNAcentral is "partial 16S ribosomal RNA". It matches the Rfam family "Archaeal small subunit ribosomal RNA", at positions 474 to 726 of the family's 1478-position model. The record is from RNAcentral.